AUUGAACGCUAGCGGGAUGCCUUACACAUGCAAGUCGAACGAGUGGCGGACGGGUGAGUAAUAUAUCGGAACGUGCCCAGUAGCGGGGGAUAACUACUCGAAAGAGAGGCUAAUACCGCAUACUAUCGGAGUGGCCGAUAUCGGAUUAGCUGGUUGGUGGGGUAAAGGCUCACCAAGGCAACGAUCCGUAGCCGGUUUGGGAGGGCGACGAGCCACACUGGGACGAGGACACGGCCCAAACUCCUCCGGAGGGAGGCCUGGGGGAAUUUUUGACAAGGGGGGAAACCCGGAUCCGGCCAGCCCGGGUGUAUGAGAAGGCCUUCGGGUUUUAAAAUACUUUUGGCAGGGAAGCGGUAUCUGCAGAAAAAGCACCGGCUAACUACGUGCCAGCAGCCGCGGUAAUUC
RNAcentral lists this ribosomal RNA (405 nucleotides) under uncultured bacterium. RNAcentral's name for it is "partial 16S ribosomal RNA". It matches the Rfam family "Bacterial small subunit ribosomal RNA", at positions 30 to 526 of the family's 1533-position model. The record is from RNAcentral.